UACAGAGGGGGCGAGCGUUGUUCGGAAUUACUGGGCGUAAAGGGCGCGUAGGCGGCCUUCUAAGUCGAACGUGAAAUCCCCGGGCUCAACCCGGGAACUGCGUCCGAUACUGGGAGGCUUGAAUCCGGGAGAGGGAUGUGGAAUUCCAGGUGUAGCGGUGAAAUGCGUAGAUAUCUGAAGGAACAUCAGUGGCGAAAGCGACUUCCUGGACCAAUACUGACGCUCAUGUGCGAAAGCGUGGGGAGCAAACAGG
This 253-nucleotide ribosomal RNA is filed under the name uncultured bacterium. RNAcentral's name for it is "partial 16S ribosomal RNA". It matches the Rfam family "Bacterial small subunit ribosomal RNA", at positions 524 to 776 of the family's 1533-position model. The record is from RNAcentral.